GAUGAACGCUAGCGGCAGGCCUAAUACAUGCAAGUCGGACGGGAUUCAGGAGCUUGCUUCUGAUGAGAGUGGCGCACGGGUGCGUAACACGUAUGUAACCUACCUUUAUCAGGGGGAUAGCCUCUCGAAAGAGAGAUUAAGCCCGCAUAAAAUCACAGCACAGCAUUGUGUAAUGAUCAAAUAUUUAUAGGAUAAAGAUGGGCAUGCGGAACAUUAGCUAGAUGGCGGGGUAACGGCCCACCAUGGCGACGAUGUUUAGGGGAUCUGAGAGGAUGGCCCCCCACACUGGUACUGAGACACGGACCAGACUCCUACGGGAGGCAGCAGUAAGGAAUAUUGGACAAGGGACGGAAGCCUGAACCAGCCAUGCCGCGUGCAGGAAGACGGCCCUACGGGUUGUAAACUGCUUUUAUACGGGAAUAAACCCAGAUACGUGUAUCUGGCUGAAUGUACUGUAAGAAUAAGGUUCGGCUAACUCCGUG
RNAcentral lists this ribosomal RNA (482 nucleotides) under uncultured bacterium. Its description in RNAcentral is "partial 16S ribosomal RNA". It matches the Rfam family "Bacterial small subunit ribosomal RNA", at positions 28 to 507 of the family's 1533-position model. The record is from RNAcentral.